This 119-nucleotide ribosomal RNA is filed under the name Pogona vitticeps (central bearded dragon). Lineage: Eukaryota; Metazoa; Chordata; Lepidosauria; Squamata; Agamidae. The record is from RNAcentral.
CCAGAGUGCCACACCAUCCUGUGUAUACCUGAUCUUGGCUGAUUUUGAAAGCUAAGCAGGGUUGAGCUGAGUUUGUACACAGAAGGCCAUUCACCAGGGAAUAUCCAGGAUCUCCAGGU